Molecule: ribosomal RNA, 490 nt
Filed under: uncultured Bacteroidota bacterium
Lineage: Bacteria; Pseudomonadati; Bacteroidota
Description: bacterial SSU rRNA
Rfam family: Bacterial small subunit ribosomal RNA
Source: RNAcentral
GCGGCAGGCCUAACACAUGCAAGUCGAGGGGUAACAGGGUAGCAAUAUCGCUGACGACCGGCGCACGGGUGAGUAAUGCAUAUGCAACCUUCCUUUAACUGGGGCAUAGCCCGGAGAAAUCCGGAUUAAUACCCCAUAAGAUCAUAGAGAGGCAUCUUUUAGUGAUUAAAGCUCCGGCGGUUAAAGAUGGGCAUAUGUGCCAUUAGCUUGUUGGUGAGGUAACGGCUCACCAAGGCUACGAUGGUUAGGGGGUCUGAGAGGAUGAUCCCCCACACUGGUACUGAGACACGGACCAGACUCCUACGGGAGGCAGCAGUGAGGAAUAUUGGGCAAUGGGCGCAAGCCUGACCCAGCCAUGCCGCGUGAAGGAUGAAUGCCCUAUGGGUUGUAAACUUCUUUUUUACGGGAAGAAACUCCUGAACGUGUUCGGGAUUGACGGUACCGUAUGAAUAAGCAUCGGCUAACUCCGUGCCAGCAGCCGCGGUAAUAC